AUGGCGCCCUCCAAAGCUUCGGCGGCGAUGCGUCACGUGCUGGCCGCCAUGGACGAGAGCAACAACAACAUCACCAAGAUGCUCGAGUCUCUCCUCGCCAAGAUGGACGAACAGAAGGCGGUCCACGACAAGCAGAUCGAGAUUCAGGCCGCCUUCAACGCGCAGAUCUCGCAGGACGUGCGUGGACUCGCCCGGCAGAUCGAUCUGACCCAGGCCGACGUCGACGCGACCCGCAAGACAGUGGAGGGCUCUGCAUCGCCAUCGGGAUCGGUCACCACCGUGCUUCACCAGCCCGCCGCUCCGCAACAACCACCACCACCGCCUCCGCCGCCUCCUCACUCGCCGCGAGUGGCCGCCGAACCAGGCCGCCCUGCGUCCGCGCACGCGCGCCUCGGAGACCAUCGCCCUCCGUUGAUUCUAGUCGCACCGCACAGCUGGGUGGCCACCGUGGCGCUGUACAUCGAAGGCCAAGCCGCACACUGGCUGCAAGCAUUUUGUCAAACACAUCGCGACAUCACCUGGGAAGUGUUCACGUCCGCCGUGCUUGAGGAGUUUGGCGCCGACGAGUUUGAGGUGGUCAUGCACAAGCUACUGCAGCUUCGCCAGACUGCCACGGUCGCCGAGUAUCGCGCGGCGUUCGACGAGCAAAUGUACCAUCUGCUUGCGCUGGAUCCAUCCAUCAACACCAAGUUUUUCGUCACCCAGUUCAUCCUGGGCUUGAAGGACGAGCUACGCGCCCCGGUUCGGCUCCAAGCGCCCUCGAGCAUCACCCGAGCAUCGUGUGGCGACCGCUACUCGCGGGAGCACCGGUGCGCCCAACCCGCCCAGCUGCUCACCAUCAGCAUUGGUGAUCACGGCGAGGUGCUCUCCGACGACACCAUCCACGCCUUGCAACUGCUCGACGACCCCAGACCAGCCGCGCAGCCGCCCGCUCCGGCUGGGGACGCUCCCGAAUGCUGCCUCCUCUCGUCGCACGCCCUGGACGGCACGGACUCGGCGACCACGAGCCGCCUGCGUGCGCUGGUUGGCAACCAGGUCAUGUUGCUUCUUCUCGAUUCGGGCAGUUUGCACAACAUCGUCAACAAGUCCUUCGUCGAUCGCCUCGGGCUGGCGACGGAAGAGAUGCCGCGGGUGGACCUGCGCGUUGCCAACGGUGACCGUCUCACCUGCAACCAGAUCGUGCCCGAACUCAAGUGGUGGAUGCAGGGGCACACGUUCGCCACACCGAUGCGCGAGCUGGACAUUGGCGCCUACGACGGCAUCCUGGGCAUGGACUGGCUUGCCCAACACAGUCCCAUGACGUGUCACUGGCAGGACAACGCUCGGUCGUCAAACCGGCCCUGCGCCAAGCUCGCCUUCAAAUUCUUCGGCCCGUACACCGUCCUCGAGAAGAUCGGCCUCAUGGUGUACAAGCUCGACCUGCCGCCCGCGAGUCAGGUGCACCCAGUCUUCCACGUCUCACAGCUCAAGCCAUUCACACCGGACUACACGCCGGUGUACGCAGAGCUGCCGCGCGUGCCGGACCUCUCCGUGUCGUCGGCGGCACCAACGCAGCCGCUGGAACGGCGCAUGAUGAAGCGCGGGAAUGCUGCCAUCGUGCAGGUAAAGGUGCAGUGGGGCGAGGGCUCGCCGGCCGCCACCACAUGGGAAGAUUACGAGGUGCUCCGGCAGCGUUUCCCUUCAGCGGCCAUUUGGGAGGACUCGGGGACAAGUUCACAGGAAGAAGCUCAGUCUUAA
RNAcentral lists this ribosomal RNA (1737 nucleotides) under Triticum aestivum (bread wheat). RNAcentral's name for it is "partial small subunit ribosomal RNA". Lineage: Eukaryota; Viridiplantae; Streptophyta; Magnoliopsida; Poales; Poaceae. The record is from RNAcentral.